RNAcentral lists this ribosomal RNA (2928 nucleotides) under Escherichia coli. RNAcentral describes it as "23S ribosomal RNA". It matches the Rfam family "Bacterial large subunit ribosomal RNA". Lineage: Bacteria; Pseudomonadati; Pseudomonadota; Gammaproteobacteria; Enterobacterales; Enterobacteriaceae. The record is from RNAcentral.
GGGUUGUGAGGUUAAGCGACUAAGCGUACACGGUGGAUGCCCUGGCAGUCAGAGGCGAUGAAGGACGUGCUAAUCUGCGAUAAGCGUCGGUAAGGUGAUAUGAACCGUUAUAACCGGCGAUUUCCGAAUGGGGAAACCCAGUGUGUUUCGACACACUAUCAUUAACUGAAUCCAUAGGUUAAUGAGGCGAACCGGGGGAACUGAAACAUCUAAGUACCCCGAGGAAAAGAAAUCAACCGAGAUUCCCCCAGUAGCGGCGAGCGAACGGGGAGCAGCCCAGAGCCUGAAUCAGUGUGUGUGUUAGUGGAAGCGUCUGGAAAGGCGCGCGAUACAGGGUGACAGCCCCGUACACAAAAAUGCACAUAUUGUGAGCUCGAUGAGUAGGGCGGGACACGUGGUAUCCUGUCUGAAUAUGGGGGGACCAUCCUCCAAGGCUAAAUACUCCUGACUGACCGAUAGUGAACCAGUACCGUGAGGGAAAGGCGAAAAGAACCCCGGCGAGGGGAGUGAAAAAGAACCUGAAACCGUGUACGUACAAGCAGUGGGAGCACGCUUCGGCGUGUGACUGCGUACCUUUUGUAUAAUGGGUCAGCGACUUAUAUUCUGUAGCAAGGUUAACCGAAUAGGGGAGCCGAAGGGAAACCGAGUCUUAACUGGGCGUUAAGUUGCAGGGUAUAGACCCGAAACCCGGUGAUCUAGCCAUGGGCAGGUUGAAGGUUGGGUAACACUAACUGGAGGACCGAACCGACUAAUGUUGAAAAAUUAGCGGAUGACUUGUGGCUGGGGGUGAAAGGCCAAUCAAACCGGGAGAUAGCUGGUUCUCCCCGAAAGCUAUUUAGGUAGCGCCUCGUGAAUUCAUCUCCGGGGGUAGAGCACUGUUUCGGCAAGGGGGUCAUCCCGACUUACCAACCCGAUGCAAACUGCGAAUACCGGAGAAUGUUAUCACGGGAGACACACGGCGGGUGCUAACGUCCGUCGUGAAGAGGGAAAUAACCCAGACCGCCAGCUAAGGUCCCAAAGUCAUGGUUAAGUGGGAAACGAUGUGGGAAGGCCCAGACAGCCAGGAUGUUGGCUUAGAAGCAGCCAUCAUUUAAAGAAAGCGUAAUAGCUCACUGGUCGAGUCGGCCUGCGCGGAAGAUGUAACGGGGCUAAACCAUGCACCGAAGCUGCGGCAGCGACGCUGAUGCGUUGUUGGGUAGGGGAGCGUUCUGUAAGCCUGCGAAGGUGUGCUGUGAGGCAUGCUGGAGGUAUCAGAAGUGCGAAUGCUGACAUAAGUAACGAUAAAGCGGGUGAAAAGCCCGCUCGCCGGAAGACCAAGGGUUCCUGUCCAACGUUAAUCGGGGCAGGGUGAGUCGACCCCUAAGGCGAGGCCGAAAGGCGUAGUCGAUGGGAAACAGGUUAAUAUUCCUGUACUUGGUGUUACUGCGAAGGGGGACGGAGAAGGCUAUGUUGGCCGGGCGACGGUUGUCCCGGUUUAAGCGUGUAGGCUGGUUUUCCAGGCAAAUCCGGAAAAUCAAGGCUGAGGCGUGAUGACGAGGCACUACGGUGCUGAAGCAACAAAUGCCCUGCUUCCAGGAAAAGCCUCUAAGCAUCAGGUAACAUCAAAUCGUACCCCAAACCGACACAGGUGGUCAGGUAGAGAAUACCAAGGCGCUUGAGAGAACUCGGGUGAAGGAACUAGGCAAAAUGGUGCCGUAACUUCGGGAGAAGGCACGCUGAUAUGUAGGUGAAGUCCCUCGCGGAUGGAGCUGAAAUCAGUCGAAGAUACCAGCUGGCUGCAACUGUUUAUUAAAAACACAGCACUGUGCAAACACGAAAGUGGACGUAUACGGUGUGACGCCUGCCCGGUGCCGGAAGGUUAAUUGAUGGGGUCAGCGCAAGCGAAGCUCUUGAUCGAAGCCCCGGUAAACGGCGGCCGUAACUAUAACGGUCCUAAGGUAGCGAAAUUCCUUGUCGGGUAAGUUCCGACCUGCACGAAUGGCGUAAUGAUGGCCAGGCUGUCUCCACCCGAGACUCAGUGAAAUUGAACUCGCUGUGAAGAUGCAGUGUACCCGCGGCAAGACGGAAAGACCCCGUGAACCUUUACUAUAGCUUGACACUGAACAUUGAGCCUUGAUGUGUAGGAUAGGUGGGAGGCUUGGAAGUGUGGACGCCAGUCUGCAUGGAGCCGACCUUGAAAUACCACCCUUUAAUGUUUGAUGUUCUAACGUUGACCCGUAAUCCGGGUUGCGGACAGUGUCUGGUGGGUAGUUUGACUGGGGCGGUCUCCUCCUAAAGAGUAACGGAGGAGCACGAAGGUUGGCUAAUCCUGGUCGGACAUCAGGAGGUUAGUGCAAUGGCAUAAGCCAGCUUGACUGCGAGCGUGACGGCGCGAGCAGGUGCGAAAGCAGGUCAUAGUGAUCCGGUGGUUCUGAAUGGAAGGGCCAUCGCUCAACGGAUAAAAGGUACUCCGGGGAUAACAGGCUGAUACCGCCCAAGAGUUCAUAUCGACGGCGGUGUUUGGCACCUCGAUGUCGGCUCAUCACAUCCUGGGGCUGAAGUAGGUCCCAAGGGUAUGGCUGUUCGCCAUUUAAAGUGGUACGCGAGCUGGGUUUAGAACGUCGUGAGACAGUUCGGUCCCUAUCUGCCGUGGGCGCUGGAGAACUGAGGGGGCUGCUCCUAGUACGAGAGGACCGGAGUGGACGCAUCACUGGUGUUCGGGUUGUCAUGCCAAUGGCACUGCCCGGUAGCUAAAUGCGGAAGAGAUAAGUGCUGAAAGCAUCUAAGCACGAAACUUGCCCCGAGAUGAGUUCUCCCUGACCCUUUAAGGGUCCUGAAGGAACGUUGAAGACGACGACGUUGAUAGGCCGGGUGUGUAAGCGCAGCGAUGCGUUGAGCUAACCGGUACUAAUGAACCGUGAGGCUUAACCUUACAACGCCGAAGCUGUU